UACGAAGGGGGCUAGCGUUGUUCGGAAUCACUGGGCGUAAAGCGCACGUAGGCGGCUCUUUAAGUCAGGGGUGAAAUCCCGAUGCUCAACCUCGGAACUGCCUUUGAUACUGGGGAUCUCGAGUCCGGGAGAGGUGAGUGGAACUGCGAGUGUAGAGGUGAAAUUCGUAGAUAUUCGCAAGAACACCAGUGGCGAAGGCGGCUCACUGGCCCGGAACUGACGCUGAGGUGCGAAAGCGUGGGGAGCAAACAGG
RNAcentral lists this ribosomal RNA (253 nucleotides) under uncultured bacterium. RNAcentral's name for it is "partial 16S ribosomal RNA". It matches the Rfam family "Bacterial small subunit ribosomal RNA", at positions 524 to 776 of the family's 1533-position model. The record is from RNAcentral.